Molecule: ribosomal RNA, 508 nt
Filed under: Glomus hoi
Lineage: Eukaryota; Fungi; Glomeromycota; Glomeromycetes; Glomerales; Glomeraceae
Description: SSU rRNA
Rfam family: Eukaryotic small subunit ribosomal RNA
Source: RNAcentral
AGCAGCCGCGGUAAUUCCAGCUCCAAUAGCGUAUAUUAAAGUUGUUGCAGUUAAAAAGCUCGUAGUUGAAUUUCGGGAUCAAUAUGUCGGUCGUGCCUUCGGUACGCACUGGUAUCAUUGGUCUCUCCUUUCUGACGAACCAUGAUGUCAUUAAUUUGGUGUUAUGGGGAGUUAGGACUGUUACUUUGAAAAAAUUAGAGUGUUUAAAGCAGGCUUUAGCUUGAAUACAUUAGCAUGGAAUAAUGAAAUAGGACGUUCGAACCUAUUUUGUUGGUUUCUAGGAUCAACGUAAUGAUUAAUAGGGAUAGUUGGGGGCAUUAGUAUUCAAUUGUCAGAGGUGAAAUUCUUGGAUUUAUUGAAGACUAACUACUGCGAAAGCAUUUGCCAAGGAUGUUUUCAUUAAUCAAGAACGAAAGUUAGGGGAUCGAAGACGAUCAGAUACCGUCGUAGUCUUAACCAUAAACUAUGUCGACUAGGGAUCGGAUGAUGUUUAUUUUUUAAUGACUCA